GUUCUUAGUCUACGGCCUGAACGAGCCCAAUCCCAUCUGAUCUUGGAAGCUAAGCAGGGUUGGGCCUGAUCAGUACUUGGUGGGAGACCACCUAGGAAGACCAAGUGCUGUAUGUG
RNAcentral lists this ribosomal RNA (116 nucleotides) under Pteropus alecto (black flying fox). The record is from RNAcentral. Lineage: Eukaryota; Metazoa; Chordata; Mammalia; Chiroptera; Pteropodidae.